Molecule: long non-coding RNA, 1813 nt
Organism: Corvus hawaiiensis (hawaiian crow)
Lineage: Eukaryota; Metazoa; Chordata; Aves; Passeriformes; Corvidae
Exons: 2
Source: RefSeq, a predicted model, not a curated record
UGCUUCGGCCCCGUGGCAGCCGCCCCACCCUGCCCCGCCGGUGGGGCCGGCCCUCGCUCCGUGUGACCCCGCCGCCGUUCGCUCGUGCGACCCUCGCCGCCGUCACCUCUUCUGCACCCCGCGGCGCUGCCCCCCGGCCCCAGGAACGCCACCGUUUCCCCCCGGGGGCGUCCCGCUGGCAGCAGCGCGCCGGCCCCUGGUGCGGGCCGGCAAAACACCCCUUGUCACUUCAUGUCACCUAAAAAAACACCUCCUCUCUUUUACCGCCCCCCCCGAAUGAUUUCUGCCCGGAGUUUCCACCCCUCCGGGCGCAGUGGGAGUAACGCAAAGGUUAACCGUGUCCGGAAAGUACCGCGCCGUGCGGGCCAGGAAAGCCCCGCCGGGCCAAGGUGCGACCUUCGGCGGCCGCCGCCCCUCCCCGCCCGGCCCGGCCCGGCUCCGCUCCCCGGCCGUCCUGCAGCUCGUGCUCCUCUAGAGGGCUCCGCUCCCCGGGGAGGCUGUAGGUGGAGCGUUUUGUCGGCAGGUAAAACCCACCUGGGCUCCUCGCCCUGUCACACGCCGGUGGCCGGGCCCCCGCCCGGCUGCGUUACGGGGUAGGUGUGCCGACCUCGUGUCUCUGAUGGCCCGUCCUGUGGCAUCCCUUCAUUUCUGAUACCAGCAACAGGUGUCGGUGCACGCAGGAUCCUAGAAGGAUCUCUAUGCCUCAUCCAAGUCUGCCUAUGCAGGGUACAAGGUUAGUAAAUCCUGCAAGUGCAGCCAAUGUGAAUAAUGUGCUGUUUCACUGUCUUUACGAAUGAAGGGCUGCAGAAGCCUUUUCAGAUCCUGCGCUAAGCCUUGAAGAGCUAUGGAUGGUUUAGUAUCUGAAUGUCAAAUGUCAGAAACUGAACGUGGUGGGUUUGUUCAAGAGUGCUGAGGAAGAGUUGGCAGUGAAGCAAUCCUGUGGUCCCACUCUUGGGAGUUUUUAGAUGAUGUAUCUUUUUUUUUUUUUUUUUUGCUUCAUUUUGGAAAAAUCCCCUGUUUCAGACAUCUGACUAUCAUUCCUUGAGUGGUCACAGCCCAAAUGGGGAUAUAGGAUGUGAGAAAGCCGUAUGCAAUGACAGUCAGAAAGAAGUGUAGCAUCUACAGGACUUCAAAUCUUGUGGCAUCCUUAACCUAAAAGCUCUAUGAUUUCAGAGGUCACAGUCGCAAACACUGUAGGUAGAGAGCUACAUGUCCCUUGAGAACUCAGUUGGGUGCUAUUUGAAAUAAGAUACAGUGGUGACAGGUGAACUAAACUCAAUUUACUCCUGUUGGGUACUGUAAUGUCUAAUUCCUGGGUCAUGAUGUUGCAAACUUAUGGUGAUUCAAUGUAUCUGAAAAAAAAGGAUUCAGAUGAUACAUGAAGAAAAUCAAGGAAAUGUCUUCAAACAAAAUGCCAGCAGAAGCAAAAGUGGCUGAAACUGGGUUCUCCCUGCUUUGGAUUUUUCACCUGCAUGGUCUAAGAGGUGCUGAUGGGAGGAAGAAUACAGUUAAUAUCCUGUACAGGGCCAUGAAUCCGUGAAGCAACCUGUUUGUGGAAUCUCUGUCCUUGGAGAGAGUUGAAACUCAGCUGAACAUGUUGCCAAGCAGACAGAACUAAUUGGACCUGUUUUGAGCAGGGGGAUGAUUGGGCCUCAGGGGGCUUUUUCUAGCCUAAGUUAUUCUAUGAAUUUUUAUGGUGGAAAGUGUGUUAUUAUAUUAAAUGUACCCCAAAUUUCUUGAAGUGUUAUAACUGUGGCUUCUUUAUGGUAUUUACAUUUGCUUUACUGAAACAAAAUACAAUUGUCUAUCACUG